This 252-nucleotide ribosomal RNA is filed under the name uncultured bacterium. Its description in RNAcentral is "partial 16S ribosomal RNA". It matches the Rfam family "Bacterial small subunit ribosomal RNA", at positions 526 to 779 of the family's 1533-position model. The record is from RNAcentral.
CGUAGGUGCGAGCGUUGUCCGGAAUUAUUGGGCGUAAAGGGCUCGUAGGCGGUUUGUUGCGUCGGGAGUGAAACUCAGGGCUUAACCCUGAGCCCGCUUCCGAUACGGGCAGACUAGAGGUAUGCAGGGGAGAACGGAAUUCCUGGUGUAGCGGUGAAAUGCGCAGAUAUCAGGAGGAACACCGGUGGCGAAGGCGGUUCUCUGGGCAUUACCUGACGCUGAGGAGCGAAAGUGUGGGGAGCGAACAGGAUU